GUGUCAGCAGCCGCGGUAAAACCGGCACCUCAAGUGGUCAGGAGGAUUAUUGGGCCUAAAGCAUCCGUAGCCGGCUAUGUUAGUUCUCGGUUAAAUCCAUGUGCUCAACACAUGGGCUGCCGAGAAUACUGUAUAGCUAGGGAGUGGGAGAGGUAGACGGUACUCGGUAGGAAGGGGUAAAAUCCUUUGAUCUAUCGAUGACCACCAGUGGCGAAGGCGGUCUACCAGAACACGUCCGACGGUGAGGGAUGAAAGCUGGGGGAGCAAACCGGAUUAGAUACCCGGGUAGUCCCAGCUGUAAACUAUGCAAACUCAGUGAUGCAUUGGCUUGUGGCCAAUGCAGUGCCGCAGAGAAGUCGUUAAGUUCGCCGCCUGGGAAGUACGUACGCAAGUAUGAAACUUAAAGGAAUUGGCGGGGGAGCACCACAAGGGGUGAAGCCUGCGGUUCAAUUGGAGUCAACGCCAGAAAUCUUACCCGGAGAGACAGCAGAAUGAAGGUCAAGCUGAAGACUUUACCAGACAAGCUGAGAAGUGGUGCAUGGCCGUCGCCAGCUCGUGCCGUGAGAUGUCCUGUUAAGUCAGGUAACGAGCGAGAUCCCUGCCUCUAGUUGCCACCAUUACUCUCAGGAGUAGUGGGGCGAAUUAGCGGGACUGCCGCAGUUAAUGCGGAGGAAGGAGGGGGCCACGGCAGGUCAGUAUGCCCUGAAACUCUGGGGCCACACGCGGGCUGCAAUGGUAGUUACAGUGAGUUCCUAAUCCGAAAGGAGGAGGUAAUCUUCAAACGCUACCACAGUUAUGAUUGAGGGCUGCAACUCGCCCUCAUGAAUAUGGAAUCCCUAGUAACUGCGUGUCAUUACCGCGCGGUGAAUACGUCCCUGCUCCUUGCACACACCGCCCGUC
Molecule: ribosomal RNA, 900 nt
Filed under: uncultured archaeon
Lineage: Archaea
Description: bacterial SSU rRNA
Rfam family: Archaeal small subunit ribosomal RNA
Source: RNAcentral